AUGACUAUGGCGGAAUUGGUAGACGCGAUUAGUUUAGGUCUAAUUAUUUUUAAAUAUAAGGGUUCAAAUCCCUUUAGUCAUA
This is a non-coding RNA of Yamadazyma jaroonii, 82 nucleotides long. The record is from the annotation of a GenBank genome assembly. Lineage: Eukaryota; Fungi; Ascomycota; Pichiomycetes; Serinales; Debaryomycetaceae.